This 255-nucleotide ribosomal RNA is filed under the name uncultured bacterium. RNAcentral describes it as "partial 16S ribosomal RNA". It matches the Rfam family "Bacterial small subunit ribosomal RNA", at positions 524 to 777 of the family's 1533-position model. The record is from RNAcentral.
UACGUAGGGAGCAAGCGUUGUCCGGAAUCAUUGGGCGUAAAGCGCGCGUAGGUGGCUUCGUAAGUCCGUUGUGAAAGUCAAAGGCUCAACCUUUGAAAGCCGAUGGAUACUGUGAAGCUAGAGUACGGAAGAGGCGAGUGGAAUUCCUGGUGUAGCGGUGGAAUGCGCAGAUAUCAGGAGGAACACCAAUAGCGAAGGCAGCUCGCUGGGACGUUACUGACACUGAGGCGACGAAAGCGUGGGGAGCGAACAGGA